This 266-nucleotide ribosomal RNA is filed under the name uncultured bacterium. RNAcentral describes it as "partial 16S ribosomal RNA". It matches the Rfam family "Bacterial small subunit ribosomal RNA", at positions 87 to 354 of the family's 1533-position model. The record is from RNAcentral.
GCCGGCGACCGGCGGACGGGUGCGUAACGCGUAUGUAACCUACCUUUGACAGGGGGAUAACAUCGAGAAAUUGGUACUAAUACCCCAUAACAUCACCGGAGGCAUCUUCGGUGGUUGAAAACUCAGGUGGUCAGAGAUGGACAUGCGUUGUAUUAGCUAGUUGGUGAGGUAACGGCUCACCAAGGCGACGAUACAUAGGGGGACUGAGAGGUCAACCCCCCACAUUGGUACUGAGACACGGACCAAACUCCUACGGAAGGCAGCAG